UUUUUCUGAGUCUGCGGUCAGGAGCUGCAGAGGAAAUCCUGUGAAAUCACACCGCAAAGCCGACAAAACCAGCUGGUGCUAAUUAAAUCCUGCUCACCCGGUUCAGCACUGAAGAGAACUGCGGGGCUGCGACCCACACCUUGACCCACUCCUUGCUGCAGGUCACACGUAGGGCACGGGGCAGCACCAGGGGCUCUCAGCACCACGCCAGGAGCUGGAGAUCCCCCUGGGGCUGCACCGUGCCUGUGUCCCCACUGCCCGGCCAAGGAAAGUUCCACAUCCGCAGGGUUUUGCCCCAUUUGCGCUUUCCCUGCCUUUUCUUAAGGCCACGAAGUGCAUUCCGAUCAGAACGUGAAAGAAACACACAGCCACACAUUGAAUGCUGCUUUAAUGGAGAAAUAAGAUAAAAAGAUGUCAGUUUAAAUUCAAAUAUAUCAAGAAAUGCUCAGCUAUCCGCAUUCAAACACAGGAGCUGUGCAACAGCUUCCCUCCAAUUCUUUUACACUACAUGAAAAAAGAACAAUUAUUUUGGCAGAACAACUCAGCACCUUUUCCAAUUCCUGCAAUUAAUCAUUUCUGAUACAUUCAGGCUUCUUUUUCAACUCAUCUCACACCCUGAGAACCGGUGCCUGCCAGGUUCAUACCCUUUGUAAAUAUAUAUGAACAACCGUACACAAAUCCUGGUAUUUUGGCAAGAAAUACGUGGUUAAAGGUAUGGAGAAUGCUUGCUUAUUGUUUGUCUGGUGCCUUUGGUCUGGAAAGAAUGAAUCAAACAUCCGUAACUGUUCCAGUUCUGCUUGCUUUGUAGUAAAACCAAGAAUUGUAACACAGCUUAACAGCUUUCUUAAACUUGCUCCAGAAAUUAAGAAAACCUGCUCCAAAAAUUAACGCCGAGACUCGAGGAUUUUGGGCCCUGGAGGGCAGGUUGUGACCAAGGAGCUCCUCAGCUUUGACAUACAGCCCAGAAAAUGUUACCAGUGAAAUCUCACACUGCAGGGUUUAAGCACGUUAUUAGCAGGGAGCCCCCAUCCCCCAAAUCACCUUCGUUACAGAUUUUUUCAUUUUUUAUCCCAGACUUACACAUCAGUAGCCAGCCUCUGUCAUUCCUGAUGGGGAUACAACCUCCUACAGAAAGGAACUUCUGAUUUACUCCACAUGGCUUCUUGGUAGAUUUUUCCUUAGAACCCACAACAACUUGACUACAAAUAGAACAAGGUCCCUGAAAGAACACUGAAAUAUUAACAAUUGCAUUAAACAACCAAAGGGAAGUGGUGUGGAGGAGCACCCUAGAAUCCAACAGCUGGGAGAGGGGUGUCUAAAACUGCUCCUUCGGCUCACUGAUUUUCCUCCUUUUUGGCAGCACGUCUUGACUGGAAGAGGGUUCGGGCUGCAGGGAGAAACCAGGCACAGGGUUACAGGUCGUGGUGCUGCAUGGGCUGCUCCUCGCUGCCACCACAUCUAACCAGAAGAAAAUCCACCCCAAACCUGGCUGUGCA
RNAcentral lists this long non-coding RNA (1496 nucleotides) under Anas zonorhyncha (Eastern spot-billed duck). RNAcentral's name for it is "lncRNA (ENSAZOG00000015548.1)". The record is from RNAcentral. Lineage: Eukaryota; Metazoa; Chordata; Aves; Anseriformes; Anatidae.